GUAGUCCAUGCUGUAAACGGUGGGCGCUAGGUGUGGGCUGUGUGUUUGCAGUCUGUGCCGUAGCUAACGCAUUAAGCGCCCCGCCUGGGGAGUACGGCCGCAAGGCUAAAACUCAAAGGAAUUGACGGGGGCCCGCACAAGCGGCGGAGCAUGUGGAUUAAUUCGAUGCAACGCGAAGAACCUUACCUGGGUUUGACAUGCACCAGAUCGGCGUAGAGAUACGUUUUCCCUUGUGGUUGGUGCACAGGUGGUGCAUGGUUGUCGUCAGCUCGUGUCGUGAGAUGUUGGGUUAAGUCCCGCAACGAGCGCAACCCUUGUCUUAUGUUGCCAGCACAUUUUUGGUGGGGACUCAUGAGAAACUGCCGGGGUCAACUCGGA
This 378-nucleotide ribosomal RNA is filed under the name uncultured bacterium. RNAcentral's name for it is "bacterial SSU rRNA". It matches the Rfam family "Bacterial small subunit ribosomal RNA", at positions 790 to 1167 of the family's 1533-position model. The record is from RNAcentral.